RNAcentral lists this ribosomal RNA (484 nucleotides) under uncultured bacterium. RNAcentral's name for it is "partial 16S ribosomal RNA". It matches the Rfam family "Bacterial small subunit ribosomal RNA", at positions 30 to 507 of the family's 1533-position model. The record is from RNAcentral.
AUUGAACGCUGGCGGCAUGCUUUACACAUGCAAGUCGAACGGCAGCGCGGGCUUCGGCCUGGCGGCGAGUGGCGAACGGGUGAGUAAUACAUCGGAACGUGCCCAGUAGUGGGGGAUAGCUCGGCGAAAGCCGGAUUAAUACCGCAUACGACCUGAGGGUGAAAGCGGGGGAUCUUCGGACCUCGCGCUAUUGGAUCGGCCGAUGGCAGAUUAGCUAGUUGGUGGGGUAAAGGCCUACCAAGGCGACGAUCUGUAGCUGGUCUGAGAGGACGACCAGCCACACUGGGACUGAGACACGGCCCAGACUCCUACGGGAGGCAGCAGUGGGGAAUUUUGGACAAUGGGCGAAAGCCUGAUCCAGCAAUGCCGCGUGUGUGAUGAAGGCCUUCGGGUUGUAAAGCACUUUUGGCAGGAACGAAAAGGACUGUGCCAAUACCACGGUUCGAUGACGGUACCCGCAGAAUAAGCACCGGCUAACUACGUG